AGUGAACGCUGGCGGUAGGCCUAACACAUGCAAGUCGAACGGCAGCACAGUAAGAGCUUGCUCUUACGGGUGGCGAGUGGCGGACGGGUGAGGAAUACAUCGGAAUCUACUUUUUCGUGGGGGAUAACGUAGGGAAACUUACGCUAAUACCGCAUACGACCUACGGGUGAAAGCAGGGGAUCUUCGGACCUUGCGCGAUUGAAUGAGCCGAUGUCGGAUUAGCUAGUUGGCGGGGUAAAGGCCCACCAGGGCGGCGAUCCGUAGCUGGACUGAGAGGAGGAUCGGCCACCCGGGAAGGGAAACACGGACAAGAGGCCUGAGGGAGGCAGCAGUGGGGAAUAUGGGACAAGGGGCGGAAGCAUGACCCAACGAGACGGCGUGGGUGAAAAAGGCGUCGGGUUUGGAAAGCCGUUUUGUGGGGAAAAAAAAGCAGCAGGUUAAGACCCCGCUGUUCUGACGGUACCCAAUAAAUAAGCACCGGCUAACUUCGUG
RNAcentral lists this ribosomal RNA (492 nucleotides) under uncultured bacterium. RNAcentral describes it as "partial 16S ribosomal RNA". It matches the Rfam family "Bacterial small subunit ribosomal RNA", at positions 30 to 507 of the family's 1533-position model. The record is from RNAcentral.